This is a non-coding RNA of Anolis sagrei ordinatus, 1084 nucleotides long. The record is from RefSeq and is a predicted model, not a curated record. NCBI's taxonomy places the organism in Eukaryota, Metazoa, Chordata, Lepidosauria, Squamata, Anolidae.
UAAAAACAUCUUCUACACAUGUCUUUGGCAAAUGAUGCCAAACUGGGUUUAGUACGUAGGUGAUGAACAGACCACAGGCAGGAAACAACAUGACUUUCACUUUUUCUAUCUUUGUCUCUCCACUCUUAGCAAACUCUGAUCAGGUUCUUGGGCUGCAGAUGAGAGCUCACUUCCAUGUAAAACAUUCCCACUCUCCUUCUGUUUUAUCUCUAAAGGCAAACAGCUAAUGAGAAAUAGCAUCAGAACAAGCAGGAUGGGAAACUCUGAAGGCUGCAUCUGGCCCAUUCCCAGAGGUUCUCCAUCCCUACUAUAAUGCAUCCCCAAACUGAGACAAGGACUGAAUUCACGAUGUCUAAAUGUGCACUUUCAUCACUGAACUCAAUAGGAUGCUGGAUCUGCCUUAUCCUUAGGAAAGGCGAGGCGGCUGCUUCAAGGUAGCAGGUCUCGGGUUUCAUGAGGAGGCAGCAAAUUGUUCUUUAAGCAAUUUUUUAUUAUUGUGUUUGUACUAUUGACAAUUGAGAGAUGUGCUUAUAGGAUUUUCUGCCUCAUGUGCCAAAAUAACUCGGCUGGCUUUUGGGUACUGUUCAUCUUGAACUGAUUGAGGCGGAAGCACAUUUUGCUGCUUUGUCUCAGGAGGCAAACCAUUUUGGAUUAGACUUGACAUGAUGGAAUAUGGAGGAUUAAGAAACCAGCCUCUGUUGCAUUUUGAACUCUGGACUACUCACUGAUGAAGCAGUUUGCAACCAACCCACAUGAGAAGUGAAAAUAUUUAUGUUCUUCAUAACUACUGUAUUUGUGCUUUCUGUAUUAUUUGUUAUAACUUGUAAACUGUGACACCAGUAUUAGCAAAUCACUUUUCUGUACAUGCUCGCUUUUAAUUUUUUUGGAUAUAUACUUUUACAAGAUAUCUUAGCUGUGAAAUAUCCCUUUCUGAAAUGGAAAACUCCUUGUUGUGAACCUAUCUGUAGACAAUGGAAGUGCAAAACUGUUUGGAAAAAAAGAUUUGUGAAUAAAUUACAUCAAAUUGACAAACAGAUUCCCCCCCCCCCAAUAAAGUAGUGUAAAUAAGAGUAAUUUUUCUCCA